AAGACUUUAGUUAAAUUCAUAAUAAGGACUUGUCGAGUCCUAGUUACAUAAAAGUAAGUCUUA
Molecule: transfer RNA, 63 nt
Filed under: Erpobdella sp. JP-2021
Lineage: Eukaryota; Metazoa; Annelida; Clitellata; Hirudinida; Erpobdellidae
Description: tRNA-Asp
Source: RNAcentral